RNAcentral lists this long non-coding RNA (2416 nucleotides) under Sus scrofa (pig). Its description in RNAcentral is "lncRNA (ENSSSCG00070009758.1)". Lineage: Eukaryota; Metazoa; Chordata; Mammalia; Artiodactyla; Suidae. The record is from RNAcentral.
CCUUCUUUAAGGGAGUUUGAAUAAAGAACCUACAUGUUCGAUGAUAAAGGGUCAGCUAAGUAAAUGAUGGUUUAGCUGGACAAAGAUAAAGAAUCAUAAUUCCCCCAGGGAUGGAAGGCUUCCCACAUAUUCCAUAAGGAAGGAGUAAUUUCUGCCUCUUUCUUCAUGUAUUUCGCACCACAAGGCUAUAAGCCCCACCACACAGAGGAGGAUGGCAACGUCAGAAGGUGGAGGUCACCUGCCCCAGGGGACGUGGCCGAGGGACCAAGGUGUGGAUCCCAAGCCCCGUGCUGUGCACAUGUCCACCACGCAAUGGGACGACUCCUGGUGCAGCCAUCGGGUUACCAGGUAAUGGCACAGAAGGAUGCUGGUGGCAGAGUGUUGAGUGAAAAAAGGAAAGAAGAAAAAAAAAGCAGUCAAGCACGUCCUAUUUUUGCAAAAAUGAAAAGCACAUUCAGCGUGCAGAGGAAAAAGGCCAGAAGGAUUUACUAUGCACGUGAGCAGGGAGGAUACCUCCGAGGGUGGACUCACUCAUCUUGAUUUUCUACACGAACCUAGAGAGCUUCGGAAAUCUGAACAAAAUAAGAGAAAACAAACCCACACGGCCAGGCCUGUGCUGACCACACCCGCCUCUGACUUUGUUCUGAACGGUGGGGAACGGCCAGCGCCGCAGCCUCGGGACCCCAGGCGCCUGACUCCCCCGCUGCCCUUGGUCUCCUCCCCAGCGCUGCUCCCGCUCUUCCGUGGGCAUCGAUUUUUCCAUCCUUCAGAGAAGCGCCUGAGGAAAAGGAAAGAGCAUCUCUGGAUCAAUGAGCAGAGCCCUGCAGCCAGGCCUACCAUCUGCUUUUUGCUUUUCUCGGCAUCCAGUGCCAGCCCCCACCUCUCCCACUCCCAGCAAAGACUCUGGCUCUAGCUGGGCUUCAGCUCUGACGUUCCCUGGGCCUUGAAGCGGACUCAGGGCACAUUAAGCAUCAACCUUGGCUGGAUGCCGUGGCCUCUUUGCCGCAUCUUCAGUGGGGACCGAGCGCACAGCCACACAUCACAGGCUUGGCCCGGGACCUGUGCGGGACAGAUGCACUACGAUGCUUCCGAUGGUGACGAUGGCGAGACGUUCCUCGGGUGGCAGCAGACCAGCGUGACCCAGAGGACGCACGGUUUAGGCGUCACCACCAAGGCGAAGCUAGGAGGGUCCCCGGGGCGCCUCUGGAGGAGGCGGUGCGGGAACGGCAGAACACACGACGUGGGCAACCGCUUUCCUGUCUUCGCUCUUCCCACCCAAGCCCCAGGGGUGGAAAACAAUCCACACGCCAGAAACCUGACGCUGCUGCCGAGCUGGAAAAGCGGGUUCUGGAAGGGAAGGAUGGGGGAGGGGGCUCCCGAGGCCCCAAGGCCGCUGCCUGGGAGCGGUUCUCAUCAGCCAAAUGGCCCUUGGUGCCCCUGGACGGUCACUUGGGAGGGUCCCUCUCCGGGAGACCGGCUCUUGCCAAGGCCACCUGCGCCACGACCACUGCAGGUCUUGGCGCUCCUGGGAGCCGCCCGGAAGGGCAGUCCGUGCAGGCGGUGGGGUGGAGGAGGAAGCCCGGGUCGCUGCAGAGCCUCGCCAGCCGUAGGACGGCCCGGCCCCGGGUGGCGAUGCCUCUGCCAGGGCCGCCAAGCCCGAGCCCGGCUGCCGGGGACGCGCCGCGUGCGCGCGCCCAGGCCUCCGCCACCGCAUAAAUUCCCGAGCUGUCUGUGCAUGUCUUUUUCUUUCACUAGAGGUUGCUCACUUUCACUUCUUGCUUCCUUUCGGCUCCUCCGCCGGCUCCGUGAGCGCGUGUGCUGGGGGAGGGUGUGUGCCCGCGCGCGCGCGUGCCCGCAGGCUCCCGGCGGAUGCGCCCCCUGCCCGCGGAGAGGGCGCUCGGGGAUGUGCGGGGCCCCGCCGCCUGGCGUCAGGCGCAAGGUGGCCCAGCUGUCCUGUGCCCAGCAGGAGCCUAAGAGCUGGUUUCGACCGCCUCCAAUUCAGCCCUGCCCGAGGUUCCUUCGGCCCCAGUGGCACCCCAGCCCGCGUUACCCUAGGAGAUGGGGCGUGGGGGGGGUGUGGAGCAGACAGGAGACAAGGCCGGCCCUCAUCGCUAGGUCCCUGUGCUGGCGUUCCCCCUCCACCAUCACCGACCUCUCUCACUUUCCAUGUCUUAAAAAAAAAAAUUGCAAUUCUCCCCUGAAGCUGCUGCUUCUCCUGACACCAGAGGCCUCUCUGUGGCCCUCUCUCCUCCAAACAGGAACCCGAGGCCAGGAUGGAUGGAGCUUUGCUUCACUGAGCAGGAAGCCACAUCCUGCGAAGGCUGGAGCCUUUUGCUUGAGAGAGUGGGACCCGGAUGGGACCAAGAAGUAUCUCUUCUUCUUCCCUUCUGGCCCUGGCCUGCUGGCCUCAUUAUAA